ACGAAAAAUAACGAUACGGGACUCAUCCGAGGCCCCGUAAUCGGAAUGAGUACACUCUAAACCCUUUAACGAGGAUCAAUUGGAGGGCAAGUCUGGUGCCAGCAGCCGCGGUAAUUCCAGCUCCAAUAGCGUAUAUUAAAGUUGUUGCGGUUAAAAAGCUCGUAGUCGAAUUUGUGUCCCGCGCCGCCGGUUCAUCGCUCGCGGUGUCAACUGGCGUGUCCGCGGGACGUCCUGCCGGUGGGCUCAGCCCCGUACGGGGCGGCCCAAUCUCAAUCCCACCGCGGUGCUCUUCACUGAGUGUCGAGGUGGGCCGGCACGUUUACUUUGAACAAAUUAGAGUGCUUAAAGCAGGCUAAAACUUCGCCUGAAUACUGUGUGCAUGGAAUAAUGGAAUAGGACCUCGGUUCUAUUUUGUUGGUUUUCGGAACCCCGAGGUAAUGAUUAAUAGGAACGGAUGGGGGCAUUCGUAUUGCGACGUUAGAGGUGAAAUUCUUGGAUCGUCGCAAGACGGACAGAAGCGAAAGCAUUUGCCAAAAACGCUUUCAUUGAUCAAGAACGAAAGUUAGAGGUUCGAAGGCGAUCAGAUACCGCCCUAGUUCUAACCAUAAACGAUGCCAGCUAGCGAUCCGCCGACGUUCCUCCGAUGACUCGGCGGGCAGCUUCCGGGAAACCAAAGCUUUUGGGUUCCGGGGGAAGUAUGGUUGCAAAGCUGAAACUUAAAGGAAUUGACGGAAGGGCACCACCAGGAGUGGAGCCUGCGGCUUAAUUUGACUCAACACGGGAAACCUCACCAGGCCCGGACACCGGAAGGAUUGACAGAUUGAGAGC
Molecule: ribosomal RNA, 828 nt
Filed under: Ontherus sp. sp142
Lineage: Eukaryota; Metazoa; Arthropoda; Insecta; Coleoptera; Scarabaeidae
Description: SSU rRNA
Rfam family: Eukaryotic small subunit ribosomal RNA
Source: RNAcentral